Molecule: ribosomal RNA, 486 nt
Filed under: uncultured bacterium
Lineage: Bacteria
Description: partial 16S ribosomal RNA
Rfam family: Bacterial small subunit ribosomal RNA
Source: RNAcentral
AUUGAACGCUGGCGGCAUGCCUUACACAUGCAAGUCGAACGGCAGCACGGGUGCUUGCACCUGGUGGCGCGUGGCGCAUGGGUGAGUAAUACAUCGGCACAUGUCCUGCAGUGGGGGAUAGCCCGGCGAAAGCCGGAUUAAUACCGCAUACGAUCUACGGAUGAAAGCGGGGGACCUUCGGGCCUCGCGCUAAAGGGUUGGCCGAUGGCUGCUUAGCUAGUUGGUGGGGUAAAGGCCUACCAAGGCGACGAUCAGUAGCUGGUCUGAGAGGACGACCAGCCACACUGGGACUGAGACACGGCCCAGACUCCUACGGGAGGCAGCAGUGGGGAAUUUUGGACAAUGGGCGAAAGCCUGAUCCAGCAAUGCCGCGUGUGUGAAGAAGGCCUUCGGGUUGUAAAGCACUUUUGUCCGGAAAGAAAUCCUUGGCCCUAAUACGGUCGGGGGAUGACGGUACCGGAAGAAUAAGCACCGGCUAACUACGUG